UGUAUGCUUAUAUGUGUGUUCAUGCUGUGUCUGCUUGCAAACACACCCAUACACACACACACAUACACACACAUAUACACACACACA
RNAcentral lists this microRNA precursor (87 nucleotides) under Ovis aries (sheep). RNAcentral's name for it is "miRNA (ENSOARG00000024224.1)". The record is from RNAcentral. Lineage: Eukaryota; Metazoa; Chordata; Mammalia; Artiodactyla; Bovidae.